Molecule: ribosomal RNA, 875 nt
Filed under: uncultured archaeon
Lineage: Archaea
Description: bacterial SSU rRNA
Rfam family: Archaeal small subunit ribosomal RNA
Source: RNAcentral
CCUGACUGCUAUCGGAUUGAUACUACUCCAUGCGAGUCUUUGCAGUAAUGCAAGGCAUACGGCUCAGUAACACGUAGUCAACUUACCCUAUGGACGAGGAUAAUCUCGGGAAACUGAGCAUAAUACUCGAUAGAUCAUAAUGCCUGGAAUGGUUUAUGGUUGAAAUGAUUCGUCGCCAUAGGAUGGGACUGCGGCCUAUCAGCUUGUUGGUGAGGUAAUGGCCCACCAAGGCGAUUACAGGUACGGGCUCUGAGAGGAGAAGCCCGGAGAUGGGUACUGAGACAAGGACCCAGGCCCUAUGGGGCGCAGCAGGCGAGAAAACUUUGCAAUGUGCGAAAGCACGACAAGGUUAAUCCGAGUGAUUUCUGCUAAAGAAAUCUUUUGCAAGUCAUAAAACCACUAGUGAAUAAGGGGUGGGCAAGUUCUGGUGUCAGCCGCCGCGGUAAAACCAGCACCUCAAGUGGUCAGGAGGAUUAUUGGGCCUAAAGCAUCCGUAGCCGGCUCUGUAAGUUUUCGGUUAAAUCCAUGUGCUCAACGCAUGGGCUGCCGAAAAUACUGCAUAGCUAGGGAGUGGGAGAGGUAGACGGUACUCGGUAGGAAGGGGUAAAAUCCUUUGAUCUAUCGAUGACCACCUGUGGCGAAGGCGGUCUACCAGAACACGUUCGACGGUGAGGGAUGAAAGCUGGGGGAGCAAACCGGAUUAGAUACCCGGGUAGUCCCAGCUGUAAACGAUGCAGACUCGAUGAUGCAUUGGCAUAUAGCCAGUGCAGUGUCGCAGGGAAGCCGUUAAGUCUGCCGCCUGGGAAGUACGUACGCAAGUAUGAAACUUAAAGGAAUUGGCGGGGGAGCACCACAAGGGGUGAAGCCUGCGGUUC